UUCUUCACCAGACCUCAUCGCCUCUGCCGGAGCUGCCUGCCGGAAUUCGUCUCCGCCGGUGGCGGUAACCCAAUCGACCCCAAAUUAACGCCAUAGACUCCCCUCCUUCUCCUCUUCCCAAAUCUCCAAAAUCCCUCCCUUGAAUCCUAACAAAACUCUUCGAAUCUUGAAUCGAAGAGGAAGACCAAAACUCCAACUCACCCAAUCGUCCACAAAUUAACACCACAUAGCCACCACGACCCCCUCAUGCCAAAUCCUCACUUCGUUUCCCUUGAAUCUUGCCGGAGCUUCUCGAAUCCUAAAUCUGAGUUCGAGCCCUAAAAGUUCAAAAUCAUUUUUCUAUCGGAUCUGGUACAUGCAUGGUCAUAGGGCAUUGUUUCUUCGAGUUCUGAAUUGGUAAGCUCUUUUCCCCUCUUGUCUUUCUUUCUUUUACUAUCUUAUUCUCUUUCUCCUUCCCCUUUAUUUAGCUUAGUUUUCUUAUACUAAUCUGGCUGAAACUCGAUUAAUCUUUCGAGUUUAAAUUUGUCUUCUGUUCACUGUUGUUUCUUUCUCUUCUUCGUGAAAGCCUGUUUUCUGAUUUCUUUAGUCCAUUGUGUUAACAGCAUGGCUAAUUCUCCGAUCUUGCCUUUCUGUUUAGUCACCCAGUUAGUUUAAUUAGGUUAUUUCAACUUAGUUAAUUCCCUGCCUAGUUGUGUUAAAAUCAGUAAUUUAAGUCGGUUUGCUUUGAAAUCAUGUCAUGUUAUCAUGCUUGCAGAUUUUCUCUUCAAAUAGAUAAGUGUUCGUUUGGGCUUUGGGUUGUCUCUGGUCCAUUUGGAAAAGAGCAUCCCAUCCAAAUUGGUUUGGGUUAUUGGGUAAAUUCUGACCCAUUUUUGGGUCUGGUUUUAAGAGGUAAUAACAGGGUCAUUAAGGGGUAAUUUGGGUAGUCUAGGCUUGGGAAUCUUAUAUAACUGAACUAGAAAGCUUCGUAGAAGCUGGGGUGGGGGGCAAUUUUGAAAUUCUGAGGUUUACACUAGGGAUUUCUAAGCUAAAAUGAAAAUUUCAGAAGGUUUUAAGUGCAAUUUUGAACUCUUUAAGACUGCCCUAGUAACUUGCCUAUAAAGGCAUCGUUACUUAGAGCUCAAGGGAGAUUUUUUUGAGAGCUAGAAAAUCAGAAAUACACCAAACGACUAAAAACACUGUUCCAUUGGAAUCCUGCCCUAAAUUUUAAGUUGUUCCUAGAUUUCAAAAUAAUUUCUGAAGCCUUUUAAGUGUAAAUGGUUUGAUCUUGUGCCGGAAAAGCUUUGGGGUUGAGUUUGUUUGAAGUUUUCACUGUUCUAUUGAUCUUUUGUUUGGGUUUUCAGAAAGUUUUCAAAGUUUUGAAGCAUUUUUGAUUCAUCUGAGGUUGAGUGUGAAUUGAUUUGGGUUUGGAAACUAGUUUAAGGUUGGGUCUUGGGGUUUGCUGUGUGUCAACCUAUGUUGAACUUGGGUUUACUGAUUGUUACUCAAAUCUGUGUUGUGCUGCUCGCUGCUAGCUACUGAUUCUUCACUCUUUUGGUUACUAUCUUAUUUCUAGGUAUUUUCAGCCCUAUGGAUAUCAUUUGAGUGUAAUCUAAAGUUUGGAUAUGGAAAUACGAUGAAAGCCGAU
RNAcentral lists this long non-coding RNA (1624 nucleotides) under Nicotiana tabacum (common tobacco). RNAcentral's name for it is "long non-coding RNA (NTAB_LNC006623)". Lineage: Eukaryota; Viridiplantae; Streptophyta; Magnoliopsida; Solanales; Solanaceae. The record is from RNAcentral.